This 257-nucleotide ribosomal RNA is filed under the name uncultured Gigaspora. RNAcentral's name for it is "partial 18S ribosomal RNA". It matches the Rfam family "Eukaryotic small subunit ribosomal RNA", at positions 624 to 886 of the family's 1831-position model. Lineage: Eukaryota; Fungi; Glomeromycota; Glomeromycetes; Diversisporales; Gigasporaceae. The record is from RNAcentral.
AAGCUCGUAGUUGAAUUUCGGGGUUCUACCGUUGGUCGGGCAAUAGUCUGUACUGGCGUGUAGAAUUUCUACCUUCUGGGGAACCAUCAUGUUAUUUAUUUAGUGUGGUGGGAAACCNGAACCUUUACCUUGAAAAAACUUAGAGUGUUCAAAGCAGGCUUACGUCUGAAUACAUUAGCAUGGAACUAAUAAAAUAGGACGGUGGUCCUGUUUUGUUGGUUUCUGAAUCACCGUAAUGAUUAAUAGGGAUAGUUGGG